This 1093-nucleotide long non-coding RNA is filed under the name Camelus dromedarius (Arabian camel). RNAcentral describes it as "lncRNA (ENSCDRG00005005715.1)". Lineage: Eukaryota; Metazoa; Chordata; Mammalia; Artiodactyla; Camelidae. The record is from RNAcentral.
CCGUGCUGUGGAAGGCGGCCACUCCGUUUGUCCCUUUCAGGGUCUCCGUGUGGAUUCUCCCCCAGGAAGGCCCUGGGCCCUGAUGGGUCAGCGACAGCACCCUAGCUUCCCUUCCUCUCUGGGGGGGCUCCGAGUUGGGCCAGGUUUUCUGUCACAGUCUGGUCUGUGCUCCCCAGGGCCCAGCUGGUACUGCUCACAUUUCUGUCUUGCUUCCCUCAAAAGGUGGGGGCUAGAAGCAUAGGGUGGUGUCCGGGGUCUUGGCUCACGUGUGCCUCGGCUGCUCUUGGCCCCACCUCCAGGGCUGGACCAUGGGUCCUAGAGCCACUGCACCUGCGCCAGCCCCUCUGCAGGGUCCUCCAGAAGCCCCUCGGGGCCCUGGCCUUUCCAGACGCACUUCCUAGUUUUCAGCGCUGAUAUGGUUUUCCCCUAAAUGUAGUUUUCCUGUCAUUCCAGGAGAGACAGGAGCGUAAGUCAGUCCAUGGCUGGACCCAGACAGCCAUCCUCAAACUUGUUCCAGACCGGGGAGGGCCCGAGGCCCCUGGUCCUCUCGGUCUGGUGUGUCCUGGCCCAGGCACUUCUGUGUUCCAUGUGUCCUGGGACAGCUAUCGGCCGGGCUUCUGUGUUGAAGUGGCCACGGGGCAGAGGGCCUGGGGUGGGGCAGGCACUUCUGCACGAGGAGUCCCCGUGGGCAGGUGCUGUUUCUUAAACUCUCCUUUCUCAUCUGCUUUGUGAGCAGUUAUCAGUCAUGCUCACUGCUCUUCCCUCCUCUGAUUUCACUGUUCCUUCUGCUCAGCCCCACCCUUUGCUGCUAGAGCCCUUCCAGGCCAGGGCGUGUCUCACGCAGAGAUGGGACGGGUGGCCAGAGGGCUUACCAGCUGCCGGGCCCCUCCCUGGCAGCCUGCUGGCCUGCCCUCUACCCCGUGGCCCCUGGACCUCGUGGCCCUCAGGGUAGGGAAGGUAGAAGCAGCCUUUCUCUCUCAGACAGACUCCGACAUCCGGGCGCUCUUUCUGGGCAUCGACGGCCUGUGUAGGAAGUACUCCAUGGAGACCUCCCAGGUUUCAGAAUUUCAGGAAAAGCACAGGAGGAGACUGC